GAUGAACGCUAGCGGCAGGCCUAACACAUGCAAGUCGAGGGAGAGGUUACCUUCGGGUAACCAAUACCGGCGCACGGGUGCGUAACGCGUAUACAAUCUGCCUUUCACAUAGGGAUAGCCCGAAGAAAUUUGGAUUAAUACCUAAUGGUAUAUAAGAGCGGCAUCGUUUUUAUAUUAAAGCUACGGUGGUGAAAGAUGAGUAUGCGUUCUAUUAGCUAGUUGGAGAGUUAACGGCUCACCAAGGCGACGAUAGAUAGGGGUUCUGAGAGGGAUGUACCCCACACUGGUACUGCGAUACGGACCAGACUGCUACGGGAGGCAGCAGUGAGGAAUAUUGGACGAUGGUCGGAAGACUGAUCCAGCCAUGCCGCGUGCAGGAUGAAGGUGCUAUGGAUGGUAAACUGCUUUUGUAAGAGAAGAAUAAGGAGUACGCGUACUGUGAUGACGGUACCUUACGAAUAAGCAUCGGCUAACUCCGUG
RNAcentral lists this ribosomal RNA (480 nucleotides) under uncultured bacterium. RNAcentral's name for it is "partial 16S ribosomal RNA". It matches the Rfam family "Bacterial small subunit ribosomal RNA", at positions 28 to 507 of the family's 1533-position model. The record is from RNAcentral.